GCUACUGCCAUCAGAGUUCGAUUAAGCCAUGUUAGUCGAGGGUACUUCUUCUUCUUCGGAGGAUGAGGUAACCCGGCGGACGGCUCAGUAACACGUGGAUAACUUGCCCUUGGGUCUGGGAUAACCCCUGGGAAACUGGGGCUAAUACCGGAUAGAGCAUCGAUCGCUGGAAUGCAUGAUGCUCGAAAACUACGGUGCCCAAGGAUAGGUCUGCGGCUGAUUAGGUUGUUGUUGAUGUAAUGGACCAACAAGCCUACGAUCGGUACGGGUUGUGAGAGCAAUAGCCCGGAGAUGGGUUCUGAGAAAAGAACCCAGGUCCUACGGGACGCAUCAGGCGCGAAAACUUUACAAUGUGCGAAAGCACGAUAAGGGAACUCUGAGUGCCCCCUAAGGGGGCUGUUCUAGUGUCUAAAAAGCAAUAGAAGUAAGGGCUGGGCAAGACCGGUGCCAGCCGCCGCGGUAACACCGGCAGCCCAAGUGGUAGCCACGUUUAUUGGGUCUAAAGCGUUCGUAGCCGGCUUGGUAAGUUCCUUGGUAAAUUUAGCCGCUUAACGGUUAAGCUUUCAGGGAAUACUGCUUGGCUUGGGACUGGGAGAGGUCAGAGGUACUCCAGGGGUAGGGGUGAAAUCCAUUAAUCCUUGGGGGACCACCGGUAGCGAAGGCGUCUGACCAGACCAGCUCCGACGGUGAGGGACGAAGGCUAGGGGCGCGAACCGGAUUAGAUACCCGGGUAGUCCUAGCUGUAAACGAUGCGGGCUAGGUGUUGGCAUUACUGCGAGUGGUGCCAGUGCCGAAGGGAAGCCGUUAAGCUCGCCAUCUGGGGAGUACGGUCGCAAGGCUUAAACUUAAAGGAAUUGGCGGGGGAGCACCACAACGGGUGGAGCCUGCGGUUCAAUUGGAUUCAACGCCGGG
RNAcentral lists this ribosomal RNA (912 nucleotides) under uncultured archaeon. RNAcentral's name for it is "bacterial SSU rRNA". It matches the Rfam family "Archaeal small subunit ribosomal RNA", at positions 23 to 922 of the family's 1478-position model. The record is from RNAcentral.